RNAcentral lists this ribosomal RNA (391 nucleotides) under uncultured bacterium. RNAcentral describes it as "bacterial SSU rRNA". It matches the Rfam family "Bacterial small subunit ribosomal RNA", at positions 30 to 422 of the family's 1533-position model. The record is from RNAcentral.
AUUGAACGCUGGCGGCAUGCCUUACACAUGCAAGUCGAACGGCAGCGGGCCUUCGGGUGCCGGCGAGUGGCGAACGGGUGAGUAAUGCAUCGGAACGUGCCAUUGAGUGGGGGGAUAACGUAGCGAAAGUUACGCUAAUACCGCAUAUUCUGUGAGCAGGAAAGCAGGGGACCGCAAGGCCUUGCGCUCUUUGAGCGGCCGAUGUCAGAUUAGCUAGUUGGUGAGGUAAAGGCUUACCAAGGCGACGAUCUGUAGCGGGUCUGAGAGGAUGAUCCGCCACACUGGAACUGAGACACGGUCCAGACUCCUACGGGAGGCAGCAGUGGGGAAUUUUGGACAAUGGGCGCAAGCCUGAUCCAGCCAUGCCGCGUGAGUGAAGAAGGCCUGGUGU